RNAcentral lists this ribosomal RNA (524 nucleotides) under Escherichia coli. Its description in RNAcentral is "partial 23S ribosomal RNA". It matches the Rfam family "Bacterial large subunit ribosomal RNA", at positions 1024 to 1551 of the family's 2925-position model. The record is from RNAcentral. Lineage: Bacteria; Pseudomonadati; Pseudomonadota; Gammaproteobacteria; Enterobacterales; Enterobacteriaceae.
AACCCAGACCGCCAGCUAAGGUCCCAAAGUCAUGGUUAAGUGGGAAACGAUGUGGGAAGGCCCAGACAGCCAGGAUGUUGGCUUAGAAGCAGCCAUCAUUUAAAGAAAGCGUAAUAGCUCACUGGUCGAGUCGGCCUGCGCGGAAGAUGUAACGGGGCUAAACCAUGCACCGAAGCUGCGGCAGCGACACUAUGUGUUGUUGGGUAGGGGAGCGUUCUGUAAGCCUGUGAAGGUGGCCUGUGAGGGUUGCUGGAGGUAUCAGAAGUGCGAAUGCUGACAUAAGUAACGAUAAAGCGGGUGAAAAGCCCGCUCGCCGGAAGACCAAGGGUUCCUGUCCAACGUUAAUCGGGGCAGGGUGAGUCGACCCCUAAGGCGAGGCCGAAAGGCGUAGUCGAUGGGAAACAGGUUAAUAUUCCUGUACUUGGUGUUACUGCGAAGGGGGGACGGAGAAGGCUAUGUUGGCCGGGCGACGGUUGUCCCGGUUUAAGCGUGUAGGCUGGUUUUCCAGGCAAAUCCGGAAAACC